AGGGUGUAAACGCUGCAGACUUGGUGUUGGAAAUCCUUCGAGGGUAUUCAGUGCCGGAGAGAAGUUGUUAAGUCUGCUACUUGGGGAGUACGUCCGCAAGGAUGAAACUUAAAGGAAUUGGCGGGGGAGCACCGCAACGGGAGGAGCGUGCGGUUUAAUUGGAUUCAACACCGGAAAACUCACCAGGGAAGACUGUUACAUGAAAGCCGAGAUGAAGACUCUGCUAGAUUUUUCAGAGAGGAGGUGCAUGGCGUCAGUGACU
Molecule: ribosomal RNA, 262 nt
Filed under: uncultured archaeon
Lineage: Archaea
Description: partial 16S ribosomal RNA
Rfam family: Archaeal small subunit ribosomal RNA
Source: RNAcentral